This is a long non-coding RNA of Columba livia (rock pigeon), 4510 nucleotides long. RefSeq lists it as uncharacterized. Lineage: Eukaryota; Metazoa; Chordata; Aves; Columbiformes; Columbidae. The transcript is spliced from 4 exons. The record is from RefSeq and is a predicted model, not a curated record.
AAGCAUUAACACAGUUCCCCAUCCUCCCCACUUGUCAGUGCCUCAUUUCCCCACCAGAGGAUACUGAUAAGGUCUCUCUGUGUUCCGCUGGACUGCCCUUGGUUUAUUUUCCUGAGCUUUCAUUCAUUGAAAAGCCACUCAAAGUCAUCCCAGCCUGAAGGUAAAAGAGCCGCUCAGCAAGAGCACGAUGAGAUUCCUCGUGUGAGUCGAGGUCCGGGUGACCACGGGCUGUGUUAAUCGGCUCAGAUUGGCACUUUUAAGAUACUCACAGGGGCGUGGAGGGGAGUGCAGAUCUGCAUCCCUAAACAGGAGGGCCCACUCCGCAGCCUCCCAAGGGCUUAAAAGAACAGUAAGAAAUCCCUGUCCCCUCUGCCCAGCUGCUGUUGGCAUUGGGAUGGUUUCCCAGCCCCGGGACAGCGGUAACCGCGGCGUUUUCCACCGCUUUGUUUUGGAAAACAAAUGAGUUCUUGCGUAAUUUACAGCCCUGCUCAAACAGGCACAGGAUCUCAGUUCAGCUGACACCAGCCUUCUCUAGCACUAUCAUAAUCAAUAUUCAUUAACUGAAGUCUAUUGGACUUGGAGAUUUACUGCUAUUAAUAAGCCAAGAGUCUAGCUUAGUGUAGUUUAUGAAGGAAAUUUUAGGUCUGCUGAUAAAAACUGCUUUUCUGCAGUUUCUUAGCCCUGCUCUCACCACUGAAAGAGAAAACCGGAGCACGUGGCUAGAGCCAAAAGGAGGAAAACCAGAGGCCACGUCUCUUCAGAGCUGGCAGAAGGCGCUGCAUCUGGCCAGCGCAGGGCCGGGUUCCGAGACAACCCUCUCGCUUUCCGGUACUUUUCCAAUCUGCCCUCCUGUGCGUGCGUGAGUGCAGCAAACCCGGAGCUGGCUGGGAGCAUCACCCGCUGAGCAGCCGCCCGGAGCUGCCCCGCUGCUUUACUUGGGUCCCUGGAGCCCUCGGGCGGGUGAGCGCCCACCGGCACCCAGGGAACUCGCACGGCGGUUUGCAGGUGCAGGUUGCUGGUUCCUCAUGGGCUGUAGAGCCAACCUUCCUCUUCCGAGAAACACACCUGCCAACCAGCGGGAUGCUCUGGUCGAUGGUCCAUGCACAGAGGACGUGUCAGCUCCAUCCAGCAGAGUUCAGACCUGCAGACUCCAUGGCCUGCUGGUAUCCCCGUUUUGUAGACGAAUGAAUGAAGCAAACCUUAUCAAAAGGAGCAGACUGCAGUGCUGCUAAUGCAGCUCUGCUUGCACUGAAGGUAACUGAUGCUUUAAUAAUGCUACACAUUCUCCAGCUUGUGGCUGGAGUGCUUAUGUGAGGAGAAGCAUCAAUCACAGGUGGCUGUAUUUAACUUUUAUCAAAUAUUUAGGUGGGUGGCAAGGUGCGUUCUUAUGCUGCUCUUGGGGAAAGAGUGUUGGGCUCCAAGAUACAAAGUGAAUUAAUCAUCACAUCCCUUUUGCCUGCAUUGGUUUCCUGCAGACCGGGGGAGCGAGCAUUCACAUUUCAGUUAUCUCAGCUGAACGGGAGGCACCACGUGCUGUGGGACUGGAAACUGCUUGGUGAUGAGGAACUGCAUUUCCCACGUGGAAAGUCUGCCGGCUCAUCUGCUGCUGACGAGAUGGGCGUCUCCGCCAGGCGUGCUGCCCUGCCCAGUGGGAGUCUCGGUUGAGAGUGUCUGGGGCCGCUUUUCACACCAAAACUGAAAUACACCAUUUAACGUGAUGACGCUUCUCCGAGAGCCACCGUCUUCUGCUGGUGCUCAGGUAAGUGCCCAGUGAUGUCCAGAACACGUGCAGUUCCACAUUCACAGCCCCAGAGAUGCUGCCUCUUUAUCUCCUGAUGCGGUUUGUUGAGCUGACAGUUUAAUUUCUGGUUCCAUUCCUCCCUCCCUGCUGCAGCAUCUCCCUGGUUUGUAAUUUGUUCUUUGCCAAACCAGGGGCCUCCCAGAGAAAUAUUUUCCAUCUCUUUGAAGUUGGUGGGGUUUUCUCCCCGUCAUGCACACCCGCUUCCCAGCAUCCCUCCCCAUCGCCACCCGGCCCUUCCCCAGAACAGCCCUUCCUGCUCAUUCCGACCCACCGCACACUACCAAUAGCUAAAUCACACGCCAGUGAAGAUUAUCAGUAUUUUGGAAGAGAUAUCAGUCACAAAAUUGCUGCAAAGUCAAUGAGGGGAAGUCAGUUCAUGGGAUAUCUACCUCAUGGAGGAAAGCAUGGAUGUUUUUUCCCUGGCUGCCUAGUUAGCUCUUCAAUUUCUCUAAAAUCAAGCUGACACUGAACAGCAGAGAUGCCCAGUUUCUUUCCCCCUCUCUGCUUUAUUAUAUAUAUGUUUUAAGAAUAAGACCUAAGCUUUCUUACUUUAAUCACAGUUUCUAUUUCAAGGAAUAUGUUACAUUUUCAUCUUAGAAGUGUAAUUCCUAAGACCAGCACAGAAGUGGUUGUAACAGGAGAAAGAUAGAGUGGAGUGGGGUUUCUUUUUGUAUUUUCUCUUUUUAAUUUUUUCAGCAUGGCGAUAGCAUUUGCAUUUCAUUUUUCUGCUACAAACAUUUGUACUUGUCGCUAUUUAACAAGCAUAUUAACAAUGAAAAAUGGGAGUUAAAAAAAAAGAAAUACAAUGUGAACAUGUUGCAAUUAGGCCAUUAUAUGUCUAAUGUUAUAGCUCCAGGAGCUCCCGAUGCAGCACUCGUUUCCAAAACUAAUUAUAGCAGCUGCAUCCCAAGCUGCACCGCUGGUGUCGUCUGCUGCCUCCGCAGCCGGAGAGGAAGCGCUCAGUCCUGGAGCUGAUCUGGAGGGAGAUGCUGCAUUACCGUGGGGUGCAGGAGCGGAACCGGGCUCCGCUCGCACCAGCAGGGAGGGUUCAGCCCAUGGCAGAUGCUUUUCAGGAGCAUUGUCAUGACAACUGAGUCAAGGAAUUCCAUUUCCUGCCCUUGAUACAGCCGUUGUUGGGAGAGAAUUGCAUCACAACAUUCCAUUUGCUGGUUCGUUUUUGUCGGUGCUGCGGAUGUGCUUGAUUCCAUGCUCUACACGUGAUGCAGUUUCUGUAAACGUUGAAUUCUUGGCAUUUCACUGUAUCUUUUCAGGUCUUUUUCAGAGAACUUGGAGGGAGUCAGUCUCGUUUUGCCUUUUUGACUUGUUUGCUGUUGUGGUGGUUGGUUUUUGUUUUCCCCACGCCCGCUGGAUUUAGAGGCAUUACUGUGGUGGCAAAGUGACCAACCAGAGGGUUCAGGUACUUUAUUUUGAGAGCUGUCGAUGAGCUGUUAGUGCCAUAUCUCCCACCGCCAGCUGCAAACAGCUGCACACCUGACGCGUGGGCUUUCACGCAGCAGCCUGAGGGCUGUGGCCUUUAGACUUGUCUCUAAUAAGUGUUUACUUCUAUAUAUAUUUAAAUUGCAUCUGUGGUUUCGUUGUGCAAUCUGUGAGGGCAGGGGCAGCCCUUGCACCCCCGCUGCUGAGCGCUGCGCUGCGCAUCCCGGCUUGGCCAGCAGGAUGAGGCUGCUGCUCGUUCCCUUAUCGCCCCUGCCCAGGCUGGCGUGGAAUACGGUGUUGGUUAGAAAGCCAAAAGGUGAUUGAGAGGUGGCAUUUUAUCCCCUUUGGUUUGAGAAAUUUAAUUUUGAGUGCAGUUGCAACUUUAAUUUGCUGAUUUUAUAUGUGUAUGUGUAUAUAUAAAUAUAUGUUUGUUUAUUUUCUUUUAGGUGUGUUGCUUGCUAUGCACAGUGACCCAACAGACAAAAACCCAUCUAAUGAGAUGUUUGGGUUUUUUCUUUCUCAGCAUUGACUUCCAGGGUAGCAGAUAAACCCCCGGCUGCUGUGUCCCCCUGUGGUGGGGUGGGCAGAGCUGGGGGCUCAGAGCAGAUCCUGUCCUGGGGUGCAAAGCCCCAGUCAUUUGUAAAUGACAGUGACACCAGUGGACACCAACACGAUACAGCAGUGGGAGCAUCAGUCCUACCGCACAGUGACCCCCUCGGCAGCUCCAGAGCAAAGCCAGCAGUCACGGCUCUCUUCCUGCUUCAUGGAGGUUAUGUGGAUGAACAAUGGGUUAAAUUGCAGCAUGAACCAAACCUUGAUGUCCUGUGCAUCAGGAAUAAUGAGCUGUCUGCUGGAGGUGGGUGCCCAGGGAGCACGAGGAUCCAGCAGCCUCGAGCCAAACAGCCGCAUGGGCACAGCAGCAUCCUUCGUUUUGGAGGAGGUUUGUCAAGACUAAUACAUAUAGCCAGAUUAAAGGUGAAUCUGAAGAAGCCGGUGCCAGAAGCACAGCGCAUUAGCUCUUGCACUUGGCGACGUAUUUUGGGGUGUGCUUCUUCCAGCCCUCUGUAGCUGGUGUGGAUAACCUCCAGCCUCUUUGGAGGCUGCUCCUCACCUCUGGCAAUGAUGUCCUUUUGGGAACACCGGAAUGAUUUUGCUCCUUUUCCAUGAAACAGAUCUGUGCCCCAGCCUGAUACGAUGGGCUGGUUUUCUACUUUUGAAAACUUACCUUUCUUCUUCGUUUUUAAAAUAAAAGUUAACCUGUUGUUCAUCUUU